This 253-nucleotide ribosomal RNA is filed under the name uncultured bacterium. RNAcentral describes it as "partial 16S ribosomal RNA". It matches the Rfam family "Bacterial small subunit ribosomal RNA", at positions 524 to 776 of the family's 1533-position model. The record is from RNAcentral.
UACGUAGGGGGCAAGCGUUGUCCGGAUUUAUUGGGCGUAAAGAGCGUGUAGGCGGCCUGGUAGGUCAGUUGUGAAAACUCGAGGCUCAACCUCGAGACGCCGAUUGAAACCAUCAGGCUAGAGUCCGGAAGAGGAGAGUGGAAUUCCCGGUGUAGCGGUGAAAUGCGCAGAUAUCGGGAAGAACACCCGUGGCUAAGGCGGCUCUCUAGUACGGUACUGACGCUGAGACGCGAAAGCGUGGGGAGCAAACGGG